AAAAAUAAAAGUUAUUUUUCAGCUGGGUUCCAAACUCACUCUGCAUACAUGCAUGAAAGAUUUGGGGUUGCAAACGCAAUGCAGCAUCGAUCGCGAAAUGUGAAGUGGGAAGAUGAAAGUUUUGCAUAAAAAACCUUAGUAGAUUACAAUUUUCCAGAAAUGCAAGAUCCAAGUAUACUGCUACCUGAGGAAGGUUAAGUAAUUCCCAAUUCACGAAAAAAGAAACCCUCAACCCAUAAGGCUUCCACGUUUCAACAAGGUCUCAAUGUGAAAGGGUUCCAAGAGCUGUUGCCGCUUCUUCAACUCAAACAGGGAAGAAAGCCUCCAAAAGAGGGUUGAAGAAAGAAGUUUCUUCCCCAUUAUUCCAACAACCCGUGAACUCGCCCUCCGAUUCAUUGCUGGACUCCUCGUCUGCAUCUGGAAAUGAGUACUGGGCACUGAGACGAAAUAUUUGAUGCUGGAGGAAGAAAGCUUUGGGCUAGGGGGAGAGUUGAGAGAGGUUGAAGAUCAGGUCAAAACCCUUGAAGAUGAGAAGCUUGAGCUCUUGAAUGAGCUUCUUGUGUUAGGACUCUUUGAUCCUUCAGAGUUGCAGUCUCAGGGUGAGCGUAUUGUAACUCCUGAGUCGAUAGCUUCUGUUUUUGUUUGAUAAUUGAAGUAUAUAUUGAUUUGAAUGGAUAGACAUUUGUGAAACAUGUUCAUGGUUACUAUCUGUACAAAAUGAGGUUAAAUUCUAGUUCAGUAAUUACCCAUUAAUUACAAUUAUUUUUAGCUC
This is a long non-coding RNA of Camellia sinensis, 772 nucleotides long. RefSeq lists it as uncharacterized. Lineage: Eukaryota; Viridiplantae; Streptophyta; Magnoliopsida; Ericales; Theaceae. The record is from RefSeq and is a predicted model, not a curated record.